Molecule: ribosomal RNA, 460 nt
Filed under: uncultured bacterium
Lineage: Bacteria
Description: partial 16S ribosomal RNA
Rfam family: Bacterial small subunit ribosomal RNA
Source: RNAcentral
CCUACGGGGGUCUGCAGUGAGGAAUAUUGGUCAAUGGACGAGAGUCUGAACCAGCCAAGUAGCGUGAAGGAUGACUGCCCUAUGGGUUGUAAACUUCUUUUAUAUGGGAAUAAAACGUUCCACGUGUGGGAUUUUGUAUGUACCAUAUGAAUAAGGAUCGGCUAACUCCGUGCCAGCAGCCGCGGUAAUACGGAGGAUCCGAGCGUUAUCCGGAUUUAUUGGGUUUAAAGGGAGCGUAGGUGGAUUGUUAAGUCAGUUGUGAAAGUUUGCGGCUCAACCGUAAAAUUGCAGUUGAAACUGGCAGUCUUGAGUACAGUAGAGGUGGGCGGAAUUCGUGGUGUAGCGGUGAAAUGCUUAGAUAUCACGAAGAACUCCGAUUGCGAAGGCAGUUCACUGGACUGCAACUGACACUGAGGCUCGAAAGUGUGGGUAUCAAACAGGAUUAGAUACCCUUGUAGUC